AGUCGAACGGUCAGUAGCAAUACUGAUAGUGGCGCACGGGUGCGUAACACGUAACUAACCUACCUAUAACUGGGGGAUAGCCCGCCGAAAGGCGGAUUAAUACCGCAUAAGCUGCUUGGGUGGCAUCACCUGAAUAGUAAAGAUUUAUUGGUUAUAGAUGGGGUUGCGGGUCAUUAGCUAGUUGGUAAGGUAACGGCUUACCAAGGCGACGAUGACUAGGGGAGCUGAGAGGCUGGUCCCCCACACGGGCACUGAGAUACGGGCCCGACUCCUACGGGAGGCAGCAGUAGGGAAUAUUGGGCAAUGGGCGAGAGCCUGACCCAGCCAUGCCGCGUGCAGGAAGAAGGCUUUCUGAGUCGUAAACUGCUUUUGACAGGGAAGAAUAAGGACUACGUGUAGUCUGAUGACGGUACCUGCAGAAUAAGCACCGGCUAACUCCGUGCCAGCAGCCGCGGUAAUACGGAGGGUGCGAGCGUUGUCCGGAUUUAUUGGGUUUAAAGGGUGCGUAGGCGGCCCGUUAAGUCCGGGGUGAAAGCCCGCUGCUCAACAGCGGAACUGCCCUGGAUACUGACGGGCUUGAGUACAGACGAGGUUGGCGGAAUGGACUGAGUAGCGGUGAAAUGCAUAGAUACAGUCCAGAACCCCGAUUGCGAAGGCAGCUGACUAGGCUGUUACUGACGCUGAGGCACGAAAGCGUGGGGAGCGAACAGGAUUAGAUACCCUGGUAGUCCACGCCGUAAACGAUGGAUACUCGCUGCGAGCUAAAGAUUGUUCGUGGCUUAGGGAAACCGAUAAGUAUCCCACCUGGGGAGUACGCCGGCAACGGUGAAACUCAAAGGAAUUGAC
This 846-nucleotide ribosomal RNA is filed under the name uncultured bacterium. Its description in RNAcentral is "bacterial SSU rRNA". It matches the Rfam family "Bacterial small subunit ribosomal RNA", at positions 60 to 914 of the family's 1533-position model. The record is from RNAcentral.